Molecule: ribosomal RNA, 279 nt
Filed under: Triticum aestivum (bread wheat)
Lineage: Eukaryota; Viridiplantae; Streptophyta; Magnoliopsida; Poales; Poaceae
Description: partial small subunit ribosomal RNA
Source: RNAcentral
AUGGCCCUCGUCAACCCGAACAACAAGAUGAGGACCACGGCUAUUGCUGUCCUGGUCCUUGUAAUGGUGUCUGCUUGUACCUUACCGUCCUGCCAUGCGGCGCAUAAGUAUAAUCUUGCUGCAUCUCCUCCAGGUGGUACCCGAUAUUGCUCCUUUUUGAUAGGAGGUCAAGCAUGCAGUUAUUCCGCUUGCAACGACAUGUGCAGCAGGAUGGCGCGGGGACAGCAGCAUUUCACGUUUUGCACCCGCCCUGGCCAGUGCUGUUGUUGGUUUACAUAG